Molecule: ribosomal RNA, 227 nt
Filed under: uncultured Enterobacterales bacterium
Lineage: Bacteria; Pseudomonadati; Pseudomonadota; Gammaproteobacteria; Enterobacterales
Description: partial 16S ribosomal RNA
Rfam family: Bacterial small subunit ribosomal RNA
Source: RNAcentral
GGGUGAGUAAUGUCUGGGAAACUGCCUGAUGGAGGGGGAUAACUACUGGAAACGGUAGCUAAUACCGCAUAACGUCGCAAGACCAAAGUGGGGGACCUUCGGGCCUCAUGCCAUCAGAUGUGCCCAGAUGGGAUUAGCUAGUAGGUGGGGUAAUGGCUCACCUAGGCGACGAUCCCUAGCUGGUCUGAGAGGAUGACCAGCCACACUGGAACUGAGACACGGUCCAG